GAUGAACGCUGGCGGCGUGCCUAAUACAUGCAAGUCGAGCGAACAGACGAGGAGCUUGCUCCUCUGACGUUAGCGGCGGACGGGUGAGUAACACGUGGAUAACCUACCUAUAAGCCUGGGAUAACUUCGGGAAACCGGAGCUAAUACCGGAUAACAUGUUGAACCGCAUGGUUCAACAGUGAAAGACGGUCUUGCUGUCACUUAUAGAUGGAUCCGCGCCGCAUUAGCUAGUUGGUAAGGUAACGGCUUACCAAGGCAACGAUGCGUAGCCGACCUGAGAGGGUGAUCGGCCACACUGGAACUGAGACACGGUCCAGACUCCUACGGGAGGCAGCAGUAGGGAAUCUUCCGCAAUGGGCGAAAUCCUGACGGAGCAACGCCGCGUGAGUGAAGAAGGUCUUCGGAUCGUAAAACUCUGUUAUUAGGGAAGAACAAAUGUGUAAGUAACUAUGCACGUCUUGACGGUACCUAAUCAGAAAGCCACGGCUAACUACGUG
RNAcentral lists this ribosomal RNA (497 nucleotides) under uncultured bacterium. RNAcentral's name for it is "partial 16S ribosomal RNA". It matches the Rfam family "Bacterial small subunit ribosomal RNA", at positions 28 to 507 of the family's 1533-position model. The record is from RNAcentral.